This 557-nucleotide ribosomal RNA is filed under the name uncultured bacterium. RNAcentral describes it as "bacterial SSU rRNA". It matches the Rfam family "Bacterial small subunit ribosomal RNA", at positions 102 to 694 of the family's 1533-position model. The record is from RNAcentral.
ACGGGUGAGUAACGCGUGGGAAUCUACCCAACUCUACGGAAUAACUCAGGGAAACUUGUGCUAAUACCGUAUACGCCCUUCGGGGGAAAGAUUUAUCGGAGUUGGAUGAGCCCGCGUUGGAUUAGCUAGUUGGUGGGGUAAAGGCCUACCAAGGCGACGAUCCAUAGCUGGUCUGAGAGGAUGAUCAGCCACAUUGGGACUGAGACACGGCCCAAACUCCUACGGGAGGCAGCAGUGGGGAAUAUUGGACAAUGGGCGCAAGCCUGAUCCAGCCAUGCCGCGUGUGUGAUGAAGGCCUUAGGGUUGCAAAGCACUUUCACCGGAGAAGAUAAUGACGGUAUCCGGAGAAGAAGCCCCGGCUAACUUCGUGCCAGCAGCCGCGGUAAUACGAAGGGGGCUAGCGUUGUUCGGAAUUACUGGGCGUAAAGCGCACGUAGGCGGAUCGAUCAGUCAGGGGUGAAAUCCCAGAGCUCAACUCUGGAACUGCCUUUGAUACUGUCGGUCUAGAGUAUGGAAGAGGUGAGUGGAAUUCCGAGUGUAGAGGUGAAAUUCGUAGA